UGCCAGCCGCCGCGGUAACACGGGGGGCGCAAGCGUUAUUCGGAAUUAUUGGGCGUAAAGGGCGCGCAGGCGGUCAUUUAAGUGAGAUGUGAAAGCCAUGGGCUUAACCUGUGAACUGCAUCUCAUACUGGAUGGCUAGAGUAUGGCAGAGGAAUGUGGAAUUUCCGGUGUAGCGGUGAAAUGCGUAGAUAUCGGAAAGAACAUCAGUGGCGAAGGCGGCAUUCUGGGUCAAUACUGACGCUGAGGCGCGAAAGCGUGGGGAGCAAACAGGAUUAGAUA
This 279-nucleotide ribosomal RNA is filed under the name uncultured bacterium. Its description in RNAcentral is "partial 16S ribosomal RNA". It matches the Rfam family "Bacterial small subunit ribosomal RNA", at positions 506 to 784 of the family's 1533-position model. The record is from RNAcentral.